UACAGAGGUCUCAAGCGUUGUUCGGAUUCAUUGGGCGUAAAGGGUGCGUAGGUGGCGAGGCAAGUCAGAUGUGAAAUCCCGGGGCUCAACCCCGGAACUGCAUUUGAAACUGCCUUGCUCGAGUACUGGAGAGGAGACUGGAAUUUACGGUGUAGCAGUGAAAUGCGUAGAUAUCGUAAGGAAGACCAGUGGCGAAGGCGAAUCUCUGGACAGUUACUGACACUGAGGCUCGAAGGCCAGGGGAGCAAACGGG
Molecule: ribosomal RNA, 253 nt
Filed under: uncultured bacterium
Lineage: Bacteria
Description: partial 16S ribosomal RNA
Rfam family: Bacterial small subunit ribosomal RNA
Source: RNAcentral